GAGUAUUAAUCAAAUUGUUAUGUUCAAGAUGUGCUUCAUUCCCAACAUGAUACGUUAAAUGUUGAGAGCACAAGCAUAUCGAGCUCUUUAGAGGGAAUCAAAGUGUUUUUCAUGUAGUGUUCCUUAAAGAAAAAGUAUGUUUCAUAUAGUGGAAGUAGCUACACUUAUAUAUCCAUGGGAUAAAAAGGUAAUAACAUGAAUAAAAAUGUAAUAGAUCCCUUCUACUAGGCACAUUUUCUUGCUUUCUAAUGACUUAUAGUCUAUAUGAUUCUCAAUAAGUAUUAU
This 285-nucleotide long non-coding RNA is filed under the name Carica papaya (papaya). Its description in RNAcentral is "long non-coding RNA (CPAP_LNC002791)". Lineage: Eukaryota; Viridiplantae; Streptophyta; Magnoliopsida; Brassicales; Caricaceae. The record is from RNAcentral.